AGUCGAGCGGAGAUGAGGUGCUUGCACCUUAUCUUAGCGGCGGACGGGUGAGUAAUGCUUAGGAAUCUGCCUAUUAGUGGGGGACAACAUUCCGAAAGGAAUGCUAAUACCGCAUACGUCCUACGGGAGAAAGCAGGGGAUCUUCGGACCUUGCGCUAAUAGAUGAGCCUAAGUCGGAUUAGCUAGUUGGUGGGGUAAAGGCCUACCAAGGCGACGAUCUGUAGCGGGUCUGAGAGGAUGAUCCGCCACACUGGGACUGAGACACGGCCCAGACUCCUACGGGAGGCAGCAGUGGGGAAUAUUGGACAAUGGGGGGAACCCUGAUCCAGCCAUGCCGCGUGUGUGAAGAAGGCCUUAUGGUUGUAAAGCACUUUAAGCGAGGAGGAGGCUACUGAGACUAAUACUCUUGGAUAGUGGACGUUGCUCGCAGAAUAAGCACCGGCUAACUCUGUGCCAGCAGCCGCGGUAAUACAGAGGGUGCGAGCGUUAAUCGGAUUUACUGGGCGUAAAGCGUGCGUAGGCGGCUUUUUAAGUCGGAUGUGAAAUCCCCGAGCUUAACUUGGGAAUUGCAUUCGAUACUGGGAAGCUAGAGUAUGGGAGAGGAUGGUAGAAUUCCAGGUGUAGCGGUGAAAUGCGUAGAGAUCUGGAGGAAUACCGAUGGCGAAGGCAGCCAUCUGGCCUAAUACUGACGCUGAGGUACGAAAGCAUGGGGAGCAAACAGGAUUAGAUACCCUGGUAAUCCAUGCCGUAAACGAUGUCUACUAGCCGUUGGGGCCUUUGAGGCUUUAGUGGCGCAGCUAACGCGAUAAGUAGACCGCCUGGGGAGUACGGUCGCAAGACUAAAACUCAAAUGAAUUGACGGGGGCCCGCACAAGCGGUGGAGCAUGUGGUUUAAUUCGAUGCAACGCGAAGAACCUUACCUGGCCUUGACAUACUAGAAACUUUCCAGAGAUGGAUUGG
Molecule: ribosomal RNA, 960 nt
Filed under: uncultured Acinetobacter sp.
Lineage: Bacteria; Pseudomonadati; Pseudomonadota; Gammaproteobacteria; Moraxellales; Moraxellaceae
Description: bacterial SSU rRNA
Rfam family: Bacterial small subunit ribosomal RNA
Source: RNAcentral